RNAcentral lists this ribosomal RNA (372 nucleotides) under uncultured organism. Its description in RNAcentral is "bacterial SSU rRNA". It matches the Rfam family "Bacterial small subunit ribosomal RNA", at positions 526 to 896 of the family's 1533-position model. The record is from RNAcentral.
CGUAGGGGGCAAGCGUUGUCCGGAUUUAUUGGGCGUAAAGAGCGUGUAGGCGGCCAGGUAGGUCGGUUGUGAAAACUCGAGGCUCAACCUCGAGAUGUCGACCGAAACCAUCUGGCUAGAGUCCGGAAGAGGAGAAUGGAAUUCCCGGUGUAGCGGUGAAAUGCGCAGAUAUCGGGAAGAACACCCGUGGCGAAGGCGGUUCUCUGGGACGGUACUGACGCUGAGACGCGAAAGCGUGGGGAGCGAACAGGAUUAGAUACCCUGGUAGUCCACGCCGUAAACGAUGGGAACUAGGUGUGGGCGGUGUCGACUCCGUCCGUGCCGAAGCUAACGCAUUAAGUUCCCCGCCUGGGGAGUACGGCCGCAAGGCUA